Molecule: non-coding RNA, 634 nt
Filed under: Pongo abelii (Sumatran orangutan)
Lineage: Eukaryota; Metazoa; Chordata; Mammalia; Primates; Hominidae
Source: RNAcentral
AGAAAAGGCAAAAUUUUAAUACUUUGUUGAAGCACAUUGGAAAUGUCUCUUCUAAAGGGGAGCACAGGACAUGUGACUAACCAGAAUCCUGAAACUGUUGUGCCUGAAUGGAGUAAACUAAAUGUCAGAAGCAAGUAGUUCUGAGCAGUGCAAGGGGCGGCCUGUGGUGGCUGUUGUUGGCAUCCUUCUUGUUCUCCAGCGGCUCCACAUUCUCAGCCUCAGCUCCUUCAUCUCCCUCUGACUUCAAAGGAAUCUCUGCAUGAAGAGGGAGGAUGCACAAUAGAAGAAUUGGCCCGAUUAUCCCCUUCUGUUUGGAAAUGGUUGAAGAUUACAGAUAUGUUUUACUUCUUCCUGUGCUUUGGACUAUAUAAUGUCAAUUACCUCAAGCAAAACCCCCUACCCUGGCUAGUAUAUAGAUUUGGAUUAUACCAAAAUUGCCUAAAAUUGGAAACAAGACAUUAAUAAUAAUCUGUAAUGGUGUAAUAUAAUAGAAUACAUGUUUAUUUUCAUUGGCUUUAGCUGAUAUAAAAAAGGUAAAUUAGAGAUUUAAAUUUUAUAUUUAUUAUAUCCUGACCUUUUUGCUCAUCCUCCACCACUUUAUAUUAUGAAUGAGGUAAUUAAAAAGAGUCCACUU